AACGCGAAGAACCUUACCUAGAUUUGACAUGCUGGGAAAAGCCACAGAGAUGUGGUGUCCUUCGGGGCCCAGCACAGGUGGUGCAUGGCUGUCGUCAGCUCGUGUCGUGAGAUGUUGGGUUAAGUCCCGCAACGAGCGCAACCCUUGUUCUAUGUUGCCAGCACGUAAUGGUGGGGACUCGUAGAAGACUGCCGGGGUCAACUCGGAGGAAGGUGGGGACGACGUCAAGUCAUCAUGCCCCUUACGUCUAGGGCUGCACACAUGCUACAAUGGGCGGUACAGAGGGCUGCUAAACCGCGAGGUGGAGCCAAUCCCUAAAACCGCUCUCAGUUCAGAUUGCAGGCUGCAACUCGCCUGCAUGAAGUUGGAGUUGCUAGUAAUCCCGGAUCAGCACUGCCGGGGUGAAUACGUUCCCGGGCCUUGUACACACCGACAUA
This 437-nucleotide ribosomal RNA is filed under the name uncultured bacterium. Its description in RNAcentral is "bacterial SSU rRNA". It matches the Rfam family "Bacterial small subunit ribosomal RNA", at positions 958 to 1397 of the family's 1533-position model. The record is from RNAcentral.